GGAGGGGAGCCAACGAAAGGUUAAAGAGGCCGGCAGUGGAGGCAGCAGGUUGGACAUUGCUAACGGGAAGAGGGAGGAGACCAGAGCCACGGCCCAGCUGUGAGGCGGAAAAGGAGAGUGUACUCCAAAGCACAACACCACAUGCGGCGCUGGAUGCCAGCAGCCCCCUCCUGGUGACCGCGGCCCGGGCCGGGGGCUCACAGAUAGGAUCCCUCCCAGCACCCGGGGAGGGGGAGGAAGGCUCAGGAGGCAGACCGCAGGCGAGGCGCCGAGGGAGGAGAAUGCGGCCCGUGAGGAGGAGAGGCCGCUGCGCCCUGGGCACCCACCGCGAUGUCCGUUCCCGAGGCUGGCAGUCAGGGCUGACUGCUGGUGACAACCGGGAGCUUCUUCAGCCCGAAGGGAUUACUGACAAGUUUGGUAUGCAGGGGGCAGAGAAAAAGCCCAGCGCCAGCCUUUGAAGCAUUUCCCAUGUGUCCUCUCCCAGGUGAGGGCUGCAGCCACCUGUGGGCCCAGCAUGAGCUUGCCCUGGUUUGCUUCCUUCCUCUCCCUGUCCUUCCUUUCCUUUUGAUGACUUCUCUGCAAAGCUCGCUGUGAAUGCCAUGUGUGCAGGCAGCGUGGGGCGGCUCUGGGCCAGGGCCGGAGCUGGCCUUUUCUAGUGUCAACACAUGGAGCCUCUUUGCUAUCAGCUAUAGAUCCGUUUGCCCCAUGCUCCCACAGCAUCCAAGGUCCACGGGUUAUCCGUGAGUCUGCUGAGCGGCAUUAAAGAAGAAGGCUUUCCCUGGCACCAAGGGAUUACUACCAAGCACCAGCUAUGAUGUGGCUGGAGAAGGACCUUGAAUAAAAGGGUCAAUUCGACCAGCAGAAUAUGUCAGCCUACAGGUAACAUCCGGAGUUAAAAAUGUUUUUUGACCCUGAAUAAAAUGGGGAAAUAAAAAGGACAAAUGAGUUUAUAUGCCUAGGAGUCUCCAAAAAAGAGCCGGGAGGUCAUCAGAGGGGUUGCCCUCAUGCACACCUCAGCCCAGUUCCAGAGGCAGAUAAAGUAGAUACAACCCCAGGUAUUGGUUCUUCUGAGGGCUACAGAGACCCACAGGUUCUAUGGUCAUGGCAGAUGGAGUUCAGUGCCAUGUCAGCUGGCCCUACUUUGGAGUUUGUGGUCCUGAGUGUGACGGAGCUGGACUCAGGUGUGAUCUUUGUUCACAAGCCUCUCCUGUCGCUUUUACUGAACCUGUGGUUGGCGCUGGGGUUUAGUGUAUACUCAGGGGACCUGAAUCUCUGGACUGUCCAUGUGACAGCCAGGCCCUGAGCCUCACUAGACUUGCAACUCCUACAUUCUGGUUUAUUGGACUUACCCCACUCAGCUAACAUGGAGGCAAGGAAGGUCAACCACCGCACCAGGGAGCCAAGAGUGCCUACAACUGAAAGCAGGAGAAUUGCAUCCAGCAUCCAAGUGGAAUCUAAGGCCCCUCUCGAUACAGAAGUGGAGCAGACAUCACCAU
This 1496-nucleotide long non-coding RNA is filed under the name Dasypus novemcinctus (nine-banded armadillo). RNAcentral describes it as "lncRNA (ENSDNOG00000050143.1)". Lineage: Eukaryota; Metazoa; Chordata; Mammalia; Cingulata; Dasypodidae. The record is from RNAcentral.